Molecule: ribosomal RNA, 1362 nt
Filed under: Triticum aestivum (bread wheat)
Lineage: Eukaryota; Viridiplantae; Streptophyta; Magnoliopsida; Poales; Poaceae
Description: partial small subunit ribosomal RNA
Source: RNAcentral
AUGGAUAAUUCUCAACAACAAUAUCUAUAUUACUGUAUGUGGAAGCAACGCACACUACUUGUCCUUUUUGUAAUGUUGGUCCUUUGGUGGAGCAAGAAAAAAGGGAGGAAGAAUAGAGCUAAACGUGUCAAGUAUGGUCUACUUGUCAAGAGAGAUAUUUGGAGGAGUACUGAACUAAUUAGACUGAUCGACACCUCGGAAAGGACGUGUUUGCGCCAGCUCAGGAUGUAUCCGGCUGUUUUCUACAAGUUGUGUGCUCACCUUAGGGACAAAAAGCUUUUGGCUGACACAAUUCAUGUGUCCGUAGAGGAGCAGCUAGCUAUGUUUUUGAAAAUUGUUGGGCAAUAUCACACUCAUUCCUCUGUAGGAUUUGCGUUGUGGCGAUCUGAGGAGACAGUGAGUAGAAUGGGUGAGCAAAAAGAAGGUGCCAAGACUGAGGUUGCUCGCUCUCGUGAUAAUUACAUGUCAUGGAGUGAUGAUUGUACCAAGUAUAUGCUUGAGUGGUACAUCGAGAAGCAAAGGGACAAGCCACCAACCUUCAAGUGGAAGGCACAACACCAUCUACAAUGUGCUAAUGAUUUGAAUGACAAGUUUGGAAUUACAGCUACAGCAAAACAAGUUGAUCGACACUUUAGGUCAUUCAAGGAGAAAUGGAAGUGGAUAAAGCUAGCAAAGGAGAGGAGCGGAUAUGGUUUCGAUAAAGUACUUAACAAAUUUAACAUUGACAAGUCAGAGAAAUCACCAAGCAAGCUUGGUAAAAUAAAAUUUAACUACCUUACUCACUCCAUCAAGUUUUAUCAUCUCCUGGAAGAACUGUUUAGUGACUCGUCUCAUGCGGAUGGCUCACUAGCUAUUGAUGUGAAUGAUGCAAGUGAGAAUGUGGAAUCUGAUGGUAGUAGUGAAACAAGCAACCACACAUCCACUGCCGAACAAGGUCUUAGUGAUUCCGACAUGAUUGCGCCCAACAGUCCAGCUGAAGGCACUAGCUCAAAUCUGAAGCGCAAGCAUGUUAAAGCACCACAUAAGAAGAAACCAAAGGUCAAGGCGCGUCGAGCCAGCGUGUUAGAUGAUGAUGUGGCAGCGAGCAUUGUGAGUCUUGCUGAAACUGUGAAAUCUGCUGCCCCUAUUCAGCCAAUAGCAGUUACAGACCCCAAUGCCAAUCUUUGGAAACACAUUGAGUCGCUAACUAUCCCAGCAAAUGAGAAGAUUGAGUUAGCAGCCUAUCUUGCUAAGCCAGAACAAGAAAUUUUCCGUGGUUUCCUGAACUGUGCAAGCGUCCAGACUUUUAAUGCUUGUGUCCUUGAUUAUUUCGCGCACAAGUACGACGGCAAUGAUCGCACAGCUGCUGAUCCAUCAAUCUGA